Molecule: transfer RNA, 63 nt
Filed under: Anindobothrium anacolum
Lineage: Eukaryota; Metazoa; Platyhelminthes; Cestoda; Phyllobothriidea; Phyllobothriidae
Description: tRNA-Lys
Source: RNAcentral
CUUUUUGUAUCUAAGUUUAAGAGCUGGGUUCUUACCUCAGUAAUGUGUUAAACACCAAAAAGC